UACGAAGGAUGCAAGCGUUAUCCGGAUUCAUUGGGUUUAAAGGGAGCGUAGGUGGCCUUAUAAGUCAGUGGUGAAAUCUCUCGGCUUAACCGAGAAAUUGCCAUUGAUACUGUAGGGCUUGAGUAUAGUUGCCGUUGGCGGAAUAUGACAUGUAGUGGUGAAAUACAUAGAGAUGUCAUAGAACACCGAUUGCGAAGGCAGCUGACGAAACUAUAACUGACACUGAGGCUCGAAGUGCGGGGAUCAAACAGG
RNAcentral lists this ribosomal RNA (252 nucleotides) under uncultured bacterium. RNAcentral's name for it is "partial 16S ribosomal RNA". It matches the Rfam family "Bacterial small subunit ribosomal RNA", at positions 524 to 776 of the family's 1533-position model. The record is from RNAcentral.